Molecule: ribosomal RNA, 398 nt
Filed under: uncultured bacterium
Lineage: Bacteria
Description: partial 16S ribosomal RNA
Rfam family: Bacterial small subunit ribosomal RNA
Source: RNAcentral
AUACGUAGGGUGCGAGCGUUGUCCGGAAUUACUGGGCGUAAAGAGCUCGUAGGUGGUUUGUCGCGUCGUCUGUGAAAUUCCGGGGCUUAACUCCGGGCGUGCAGGCGAUACGGGCAUAACUUGAGUACUGUAGGGGAGACUGGAAUUCCUGGUGUAGCGGUGAAAUGCGCAGAUAUCAGGAGGAACACCGGUGGCGAAGGCGGGUCUCUGGGCAGUAACUGACGCUGAGGAGCGAAAGCAUGGGUAGCGAACAGGAUUAGAUACCCUGGUAGUCCAUGCCGUAAACGGUGGGCGCUAGGUGUAGGGGUCUUCCACGACUUCUGUGCCGUAGCUAACGCAUUAAGCGCCCCGCCUGGGGAGUACGGCCGCAAGGCUGAAACUCAAAUGAAUUGACGGGG